GUUCACUCACCCUGGAGGUCACUUUAAAUUUUGGCUUUUGUACAAUGGAUUUGUUGAAGGGAAGGCUGCAAAUGAUGUUCACCCAUCCUGGAGGUCACUUCAAAUUUUGGCUUUACCUUUUUCUCCUGAGUUGUUAAUUUGGAGGCAACUUAUUUAUAGAUAGAUUGGAGUCUACUUCUUACUUAGUAUUUGUAGAUACUCUCUUGACUUAUGUGGUGAUCAUUGUGACAUGAUAUUGGUG
RNAcentral lists this unclassified non-coding RNA (241 nucleotides) under Hevea brasiliensis (rubber tree). Lineage: Eukaryota; Viridiplantae; Streptophyta; Magnoliopsida; Malpighiales; Euphorbiaceae. The record is from RNAcentral.